Tachysurus fulvidraco (yellow catfish) is the source of this 2005-nucleotide long non-coding RNA. RefSeq lists it as uncharacterized. The record is from RefSeq and is a predicted model, not a curated record. The transcript is spliced from 6 exons. Lineage: Eukaryota; Metazoa; Chordata; Actinopteri; Siluriformes; Bagridae.
CUCCAUUUUUGCCAUAAAGGGAGCCACAUUAGAAUCUUCCUGACGGAGUUAUCUGCAAAAGAUUGUUUUUGAGCCGAAAUCAUCCUAACAUUGAUUUGGACGGGCCUACUGAUAAAAUCCACCUCCCCAUCAGGAUCCACACGCCGCCUACUACUAGGAGGAGCUUCCUGAUUGAUUGUCCUCAUCGUCCCUUGUUCUCCUGUCCUGCCAUGGAACACCUCAUGCUCACCACCAUCACGUGCUUCAUUUGGUCGCCCGGGCCUGUUGUCAUCGUCCUCGUUAUCGCUGAGCUCUCUGCUGUAGUAGAGCUCGUCUUCCGGGAAAGUUUCCAUCUCCCUCCGUCUCCCUGUGUCAAAAAAGAUGAACAAUCAAUGCGAUAAAAUGUAAUCUGAUAAAAGGAAGCAGAAACCUUUAGUUUAAUAGCACAGUGUCUGUUUUGUACAGCAGGAAAAUCUCACUCUAAACCGGCUUUACACAAAAAGCAUUUAUUAUACGCUACAGUGAUAAACAAAGCCUCGCUGUCCAGAAUUUAAACAGCAACUUUAUACUUUUGGUUAAUCUGCACUGUACAUUGCCACACUAGCUCUAUUUAUUUGUAUUGAUUGAGCUUUGCUCAGCUCGCUGCCUUUCCUAACAGCACCUUUCAAACUCAGCUUUCACAACAAAUGACACUGAAAAAUUUUCGCCUGUUAAUGAUAUAUAUAAGCACUUUAAACACUUGAUACUUAAGUGAAAAAAAAGAAAAGUCAGAAAGUUACCGUUCCAAGGGUCGUACAGUCCACUCCAUACGGGCUCGGGAUCGACAUCCUGGUGCUGCGUCACGUUUCCUCCGAAUUUCAUCAUCGCUGCCGGUGUAGUGUCGAUGAAAAUCCACAAUUGGAGGCAGAGAACAAGUAAAAUAGCGGUGUAAAAAUAUUGCAGUCAGUAAUCCAAUCGUCAUUUAAUAAAACGUCAUUUAAAACAAAUCCAAUUUCUAGUGAGAAAAAAGUAAGGACAGCCCCACAUUUAUUUGUACUUUAAAAUGUCUAAAAUGACCAACAGGUAAAUCACAGCAGGUGCAAAUGUUUACAACAUGUUUACAAAGCAUUAUGAAGGAGGCUUGAAUUAUUUAAACUUCAGACUUUUAGUAUAGUUUGCUUUUAAUUGUUGAAGUGAGAGAUAUCACUAUGAUACACAGCAGUUCAUGGCAUGGUGUCAGAGUCACUGGGAUAAAAUAAACAGGUUUUAAUAAAACACCAAACAGAGACUAGGACAAGACGACAAUGACAGGACAAAACAGGAUUUUGUGCUGAUCAAGACAACGCGGCUCAAAUAAACAUACCAGCAGCAGUGGACUCCUGAUUUGAAGGACCUCCUUAGGAGUGGAUAUUGGCCAGCUUCUGUCAGCAAUUCAAUGCUGUAUACACUGGACCUCCUGAGCACCUUUCAGGAGCUCAAGGUCACUGCUCCAGGAUUCUCCAGACAAGCCUUUGCAAAGCUGCUGGAGCAUCGGACUAAGUGUGGAGGAAAAAUUAAAUGGAGUGGUAGGAACCAGGAAGGAGCAGGAACAACAGCCGGAGAGGAGGUGGAGCAAGUGAACAGCUACCUGUCACGUUGUGCCCUGACUACCAAAUAUACUCACGGGUGGACAUGGUUACUUUGCAUGCAGUGGGGUGGAACCACAAAAAAAAGUCUCUCUCUACAUCCGGCACUUUCCACAAGAUAAUGUGAAGACUUGUCAGAGACUCUAGGAUGAGACUGCAAGGCAAGCUGAACUCAAAACAGAGCUACAUUGCAUAGAUGAAUUGGUGUCACAGUGGCUCUCUGAUGUGAAGGAAUUGGCAGCUGAUGAGACACCAGAUACAUCUCGUGCCAGUCAAGUAGUGUGUGUGGCCUCCAUGUGCCUGUAUGACAUCCCUACAACGCCUGGGCAUGCUCCUGAUGAGGUGGUGGAUGGUCUCCUGAGGGAUCUCCUCCCAGACCUGGACUAAAGCAUCCGCCAACUCUUGGACAGUCCGUGUGGCGU